Molecule: transfer RNA, 69 nt
Filed under: Coilia mystus (Osbeck's grenadier anchovy)
Lineage: Eukaryota; Metazoa; Chordata; Actinopteri; Clupeiformes; Engraulidae
Also listed under: 1 other name
Description: tRNA-Arg
Source: RNAcentral
AGAGGAUUAGUCCAAUAAAGACUUCUAAUUUCGGCUUAGACAAUUAUGGUGAAACUCCAUAAUCCUCUU